UUUACUCUUGGUAGAGCUGGAGGCCCCCUGCUACAUUUACAAGCUAUACUGACUCCAAGAACCAGGAAGACAUGUCUCUGCCAGUGAUUUGCCUGGUCUCGCAUUCAGACGAGCUGAGAGUCUGCACCUCACCUGCUGAGGAAACCUGGUGGGGAAGUGAUCAAGGGGGCAGCACAAAGACCAGUGAGCACCAUGACGAGCAUUUUCAGAUACUUCCAGUAACACGCUUGUAUGGAAGAGGGAUUUGUCGCUUUCGCAAACGUCAAAUGGAAGGGGUAGCCCGUGCUUCCAUUUGCCCAAGUGAGAUCAGCGCCUCCUUUUCUUCAUCAAUACACCGUAAAUAAAAACCCUUGCUGGGCUGGGAGAAAAUGAUCACAUCUGUGCUUUUAGGAAAAAAGAAGAAAAGACUACCGGUUCUUACAAGAAUUAAAUAAGAAGAUGUGCAGGUCCAGAAGUCAGAAACAAAGCACAGUCUUUAAAUAAAGUUUGAUAUUUCCCGCUUAA
Molecule: non-coding RNA, 504 nt
Organism: Myodes glareolus (Bank vole)
Lineage: Eukaryota; Metazoa; Chordata; Mammalia; Rodentia; Cricetidae
Source: RefSeq, a predicted model, not a curated record